GAUGAACGCUGGCGGCGUGCCUAAUACAUGCAAGUCGAGCGAACAGAUGAGGAGCUUGCUCCUCUGACGUUAGCGGCGGACGGGUGAGUAACACGUGGAUAACCUACCUAUAAGACUGGGAUAACUUCGGGAAACCGGAGCUAAUACCGGAUAAUAUAUUGAACCGCAUGGUUCAAUAGUGAAAGACGGUUUUGCUGUCACUUAUAGAUGGAUCCGCGCCGCAUUAGCUAGUUGGUAAGGUAACGGCUUACCAAGGCAACGAUGCGUAGCCGACCUGAGAGGGUGAUCGGCCACACUGGAACUGAGACACGGUCCAGACUCCUACGGGAGGAAGCAGUAGGGAAUCUUCCGCAAUGGGCGAAAGCCUGACGGAGCAACGCCGCGUGAGUGAUGAAGGUCUUCGGAUCGUAAAACUCUGUUAUUAGGGAAGAACAAAUGUGUAAGUAACUAUGCACGUCUUGACGGUAACUAAUCAGAAAGCCACGGCUAACUACGUG
RNAcentral lists this ribosomal RNA (497 nucleotides) under uncultured bacterium. RNAcentral describes it as "partial 16S ribosomal RNA". It matches the Rfam family "Bacterial small subunit ribosomal RNA", at positions 28 to 507 of the family's 1533-position model. The record is from RNAcentral.